GCCCUGGCGCCUGGCGGGGAAAGCCAUGCUUCUGUUAGGGUUCAAAUGGGCACGGGGGUUCAAGCAGUGAAGAACAGAGUAGAAUUGGGGAGCUUUGUGGCCAAGACAUAGGAGAUGGUAGGAUGAUCUACAGAUCCAUACUGUUGUUGAGAGCUGCAAAGAGUGAAAUGAAGGCUCAAUGGAGGCCGUGUUGAGUGAGUCUCACGGGAGAGCAUCCUGUCUAGGGACACAGGACCGUCAGCAACAAGAGCUGCUCCAUCAUUGCUAAAGGGAGACAGAGACAGAUACACAGAGAAAGAUCAUUCAUCGGCUGGUUCACUACCCAAAGGCUCUCACAAGCCAAGGCCGGCCCAGGCUGAAGCUGGGAGUCCCAUAACGCCAACAUGGCCGUCAAGCACUGGACUGGAGCCGUCACCUGCUGCCUCUCAGAUGCCAGAACCACCUGACCAGGAUGAUGAGAAUGAGGAGUUCUCUGUGAACUUUGUGGGCAAAAUGAGGCUUUGAAGUUACUCCAGUGAGAAGCUUAUGCACAAGAAGACAGAGCAUCCACUGAACUUACUGCACCUGCUCUACGGGCUGUCAGGAAGCCUGACUCUGGAGGCCCCACAAGAGGGUUCUGAACUGGCCAGGUAGGCCUAUCCCAUCACUGUUCAAGACCACCUCAAGUCAAAACUGCCGGUGAUGAAGACUUCCAGGAUCUCCUGCCUCCUCUUCCUCUCAUCCCCCCACCCCAUUCCAAGUGUGGUCUUGGGGCUUGCAGACAUCUCAGGGCCUGCAACCUCUACACGCCCAUGGUGUCAGUUGCAUUAUUCAGCCUCAACGUGGAUACACCAUAUUAGGAGGUCAUGCUGGCCAAUGGCACCAUGGAAACUGCCCCCAUUAACACAGUGCAAAGACACCUCUGGCCCAGGGGAUAUAAGAUCACUUCAGCCCAAGGUGCCAGUCCCUGACCUCGGGAAACUAGACCCUGCUCUGAGAUCAGCAUCACCCUUCCUUCUGGCAGGGCAGCCAGGAGAACUAAACACCUUUCCAUGAACAAGAACAUUCAUACUUGGGUCAGAGACACCGCCAAUGCAGACAAGCUUCUUCCCCCGCCAGCAGAACAGUGGGCUUCCUUUCUAAUGAUGCUGAAUAAAUCUGUGAGGUGCAGGCGGUGCGUGAGGUGGGUGCUGGAGGGCCCGCUGGACAUGAACCAGUGGAUACCCAGGAGCCAGCAUGCCUGCAGCAGUCCCUGUAUAGAACAAGCAUCUCUGCGCUGCCUCUCUUCAUCUAUGGCAAAGCUCAAGUCUGACUCUUGGCCAGUGCAGUGUCUCAGCUUGGGCAGGGAGAAGCAGAGCUACUCAGUGCCCAGAACAGAGGGAUCAGGCCAGUGACCUCACCCUGACCAGACAUUGUGAAUGGCAUGAGUCUCAUUGACCAUUCUGGGGCUGGUCUCCUUGUCACGGGUGUGGGUGUGAGAAAUCCCAUUUGCCGGAAUGCUUGUGGAGAUGACACAGCAUGCGCAUGGGCUUGGCAAGCCUUUAGGCGAAUGCCUCUUUCUCCUCACCUGAUCAAUGAGACACAGAUGAAUGCUAUUUUUUUCAAGAUUUAUUUAUUUAAAAGGCAAAGUGCCAGAGAGAUAAAAAUAGACACACAGAAAAUGACCUUCUAUCCUCUGGUUCACUCCCCAGUUGGCCACAGUAGCCAGAAGUGGGCCAGGCUGAAGCCAGGAACUCUACCUGUGUCUGCCACAUGAGAGGCAGGAACUCCAGUACCUGAGGCAUUGCCUGCUGCUUUCCCAGGUGCAUUAGCAAGGAACGGAAUCAUAAGCAGAGGAGCCGGGACUUGAACCAGCACUCAGGUAUGGAACGGCUGCCUCAGUUCUUUGUCUCACGUGAAAAAAGAAUUUCCAAGCAGAUAAGGCAAAGGGAAAAGCAAGAUUCAAAGGUCUAAAACCAAGAUUUAUUAGAGUCAGAGGCCUCCAGCCAUAGUGGCAUGAAGGGGGCUCCAGGAGAAGCAAAACCCAGAGUGGUUGGUGGCAGUGGGAUUUUAAGCACAAUUUUGAAAAAUAAAAUAAAAUAAACUUGCCAAUCAGAUUGUCAUUCAGGUACAAGGCAGGGGCAAAACCCAUCAAAAGACCUG
This is a non-coding RNA of Oryctolagus cuniculus (rabbit), 2121 nucleotides long. The record is from RefSeq and is a predicted model, not a curated record. NCBI's taxonomy places the organism in Eukaryota, Metazoa, Chordata, Mammalia, Lagomorpha, Leporidae.